RNAcentral lists this ribosomal RNA (253 nucleotides) under uncultured bacterium. RNAcentral describes it as "partial 16S ribosomal RNA". It matches the Rfam family "Bacterial small subunit ribosomal RNA", at positions 524 to 776 of the family's 1533-position model. The record is from RNAcentral.
UACGUAGGGUGCAAGCGUUAAUCGGAAUUACUGGGCGUAAAGCGCACGCAGGCGGUUGGUUAAGUCAGAUGUGAAAGCCCCGGGCUCAACCUGGGAAUUGCAUUUGAAACUGGCCAACUAGAGUACGUGAGAGGGGGGUAGAAUUCCAAGUGUAGCGGUGAAAUGCGUAGAGAUUUGGAGGAAUACCAGUGGCGAAGGCGGCCCCCUGGCACAAUACUGACGCUGAGGUGCGAAAGCGUGGGGAGCAAACAGG